CGCUGUUUCGCAUUGUGCUUCG
RNAcentral lists this microRNA (22 nucleotides) under Panagrellus redivivus. Its description in RNAcentral is "prd-miR-49-5p". Its record names the gene prd-miR-49-5p. The record is from miRBase by way of RNAcentral. Lineage: Eukaryota; Metazoa; Nematoda; Chromadorea; Rhabditida; Panagrolaimidae.